This 1276-nucleotide long non-coding RNA is filed under the name Ornithorhynchus anatinus (platypus). RNAcentral describes it as "lncRNA (ENSOANG00000040707.1)". Lineage: Eukaryota; Metazoa; Chordata; Mammalia; Monotremata; Ornithorhynchidae. The record is from RNAcentral.
UCCUCCCUCCCUCAUCCACUUCCCUUAUCCCUGUCCUUAAUCCCCCCUCCAUCUCUGUCCCUCAUCCCCUUGCCUCAUUCACCUUCCUCCUCCACUUCCCUUAUCCCCGUCCCUCACUCGCAUCCAUCCCACCUCCCUCAUCCACUCUCCUUAUUCCUGUCGCUAAUCCUCCCUCCAUCAUCAUCAUCCCUGUCCCUCAUUCCCCUCCCUCAUCUACUUCCCUUAUCUCCGUGCCUCCUCCCCAUCCAUCCCCCUCCCUCAUCCACUGCCCUCAUCCCUGUCCCUCCGCCCCGCCCCAGGCGCCCUCUCCUCCUCCUCCUCCUCCUCCUCCUCCUCCUCCUCCUCCUCCUCGCCGCCCCCGGGGUGCCUGCUACGGUGCCCUCUCCCAGGCGCUCAGCACAGCGCCCCGCGCAGCGUAGGCGCCCCUUGAUUGGCAGCAGGCCGCCCGACGGAGGGGUGAGGGGGGCGGGGCGGGGCGCGGGCGAAGGCGGCGGCGGCGGCGGGCGGAGCUUGACGGACGCGUCCCUCCGGCCAAUGGGAGCGUCCGAAUCCCGGGGCGCGGGGCCAAUGGGAGGCGGCGGCGGGCGGGCGGGUCCCGCCCCUCGGCCGCGCUCCCUCUUGCUGCUGCUGCUGCUGCUGCUGCUGCUCCUGGCGCUCUCGCUCACGAUCCCUCUCACUGCAGACCCGCCGGCGCUCACCGGCCACCGCCCCCCCUCCUUCGCCCCCCCCCUUUUUUUUUUUACCCCCUGGGUUGGGAGGUGGGGGAUUGGUUAAGUUUUAACUAGCAAAACAUUCUGGUACGGGGCCCUGGUCUGGAAAGGAGUCUUGGUCACAGGAUAAGGGUCUCCUUUGUGCAGGUAUUAGGGGCCUGGGAAGCAGCAUGGGCUAGUGGAUAGAACACAGGCCUGGGGGUCAGAGGACCUGAGUUCUAAUCCCACCUCCGCCACUCAUCCGCUGGGGUGACCUUGGGCAAGUCAGUUCACAUCUCCGUGCCUCAGUAUCCUCAUCUGUAAAAUGGGGAUGAAGACUGUGAGCCUCAGGUGGGACAUGGACUAUGUCCAAUCUGAUUACCUUUUAUCUAUCCCAGGACUUAGAACAGAACUUGACACAGAGAGCUUAACAAAUACUAUUAUUAUUAUUAUUAUUAUGUCGGGCUUAGAUUUGAAAUUCUGGGACCUCAGUGGGGUCACCCUCUGGUCAGUGGGGAGUCACCCUCUCCGCGGAAGAAGGGACCUGCCCUUGGCCACCCAAGUUUGCAGGCGGAGGGGAUUUCUUG